UGGCUACAUGGGAAAAGCUACGCUUUCGAGCGUUACUGUAGGUUCGACUCCUAUGGGCACCA
RNAcentral lists this transfer RNA (62 nucleotides) under Caudoviricetes sp. RNAcentral's name for it is "tRNA-OTHER". Lineage: Duplodnaviria; Heunggongvirae; Uroviricota; Caudoviricetes. The record is from RNAcentral.